GCUGAGGUGUGGCAAGUUCAAUCUAUAGCUCUAAGAGCAGCUUUCUUAUUUUUCCGGCGUUUGCCCACUGAGUAUGCUGUACUCAUGCCCUGCAUGUAUUUCUAAAUGUGCAGGAUAAGCGAGGAGUGAGAUUGGUCUGGUGCUGGUGGGGAACUGUUUCAAUCGAUGUGUUUACAUUACCGUAUUUUCUUCUUGUUGAUAGAGUCUUGAUGUGG
This 215-nucleotide long non-coding RNA is filed under the name Salvia miltiorrhiza (redroot sage). RNAcentral's name for it is "long non-coding RNA (SMIL_LNC003687)". The record is from RNAcentral. Lineage: Eukaryota; Viridiplantae; Streptophyta; Magnoliopsida; Lamiales; Lamiaceae.